UGUGUGUGUGUGUGUGUGUGUGUGUGUGUGUGUGUGUAUAUAUAUACACACACACAUAUAUAUAUAUACACAUAUAUA
Podarcis lilfordi (Lilford's wall lizard) is the source of this 78-nucleotide non-coding RNA. NCBI's taxonomy places the organism in Eukaryota, Metazoa, Chordata, Lepidosauria, Squamata, Lacertidae. The record is from the annotation of a GenBank genome assembly.